RNAcentral lists this small RNA (816 nucleotides) under uncultured Davidiella. Its description in RNAcentral is "eukaryotic LSU rRNA". The stretch from base 534 to 816 matches the Rfam family "Eukaryotic large subunit ribosomal RNA", at positions 1 to 281 of the family's 3401-position model. The record is from RNAcentral. Lineage: Eukaryota; Fungi; Ascomycota; Dothideomycetes; Cladosporiales; Cladosporiaceae.
CUUGGUCAUUUAGAGGAAGUAAAAGUCGUAACAAGGUCUCCGUAGGUGAACCUGCGGAGGGAUCAUUACAAGUGACCCCGGUCUAACCACCGGGAUGUUCAUAACCCUUUGUUGUCCGACUCUGUUGCCUCCGGGGCGACCCUGCCUUCGGGCGGGGGGCUCCGGGUGGACACUUCAAACUCUUGCGUAACUUUGCAGUCUGAGUAAACUUAAUUAAUAAAUUAAAACUUUUAACAACGGAUCUCUUGGUUCUGGCAUCGAUGAAGAACGCAGCGAAAUGCGAUAAGUAAUGUGAAUUGCAGAAUUCAGUGAAUCAUCGAAUCUUUGAACGCACAUUGCGCCCCCUGGUAUUCCGGGGGGCAUGCCUGUUCGAGCGUCAUUUCACCACUCAAGCCUCGCUUGGUAUUGGGCAACGCGGUCCGCCGCGUGCCUCAAAUCGACCGGCUGGGUCUUCUGUCCCCUAAGCGUUGUGGAAACUAUUCGCUAAAGGGUGUUCGGGAGGCUACGCCGUAAAACAACCCCAUUUCUAAGGUUGACCUCGGAUCAGGUAGGGAUACCCGCUGAACUUAAGCAUAUCAAUAAGCGGAGGAAAAGAAACCAACAGGGAUUGCUCUAGUAACGGCGAGUGAAGCAGCAAUAGCUCAAAUUUGAAAUCUGGCGUCUUCGACGUCCGAGUUGUAAUUUGUAGAGGAUGCUUCUGAGUAACCACCGACCUAAGUUCCUUGGAACAGGACGUCAUAGAGGGUGAGAAUCCCGUAUGCGGUCGGAAAGGUGCUCUAUACGUAGCUCCUUCGACGAGUCGAGUUGUUUGGGAAU